Molecule: long non-coding RNA, 390 nt
Organism: Mauremys mutica (yellowpond turtle)
Lineage: Eukaryota; Metazoa; Chordata; Testudines; Geoemydidae
Exons: 3
Source: RefSeq, a predicted model, not a curated record
ACCUCAAAAAUGUACUGUUUAAAGAACAAAAAAUGAAGCAAAGCCGCCUUGUGCAUUUUAAGCCAGCCUCAUGAUUGUGUGCAUGUCUGACUUGUGAUUUUCAAAUGCUUGGAGUUGGCUAUAUUGAUCCAUUCCCUGUAGAGAGAUAAAUGGGGCAGGGUCCCCCAGGUUUCAACUUUGGUAUAAAUGGCUCUGUAGGUAUCAUCAAUGAAGCUGCCAAGAUUUGGAGUACAAUAUAGUGAACAGAUGAGUGAAGCUAGCUACUAUGGGAGCAGUAACGCGGCAGCACAAACACGCAGAGCAGAAAGGGAUCUGGCUUGCCUGAAUAUUGCACACAGCUAGAAGUAUCAGCCAUCAGUUCUUGCAGGAGAUCAACUGAAUGCUGAAAUG